This is a long non-coding RNA of Amphiprion ocellaris (clown anemonefish), 3973 nucleotides long. RefSeq lists it as uncharacterized. NCBI's taxonomy places the organism in Eukaryota, Metazoa, Chordata, Actinopteri, Pomacentridae. The record is from RefSeq and is a predicted model, not a curated record. The transcript is spliced from 3 exons.
UCUAUGGUCGGCACGUCUGGUAGCAUCUCUGGCUGCUGUUGACCUUAUUUUUGGAGUAAAACACGGUGGAAGCUGAAUUAGUGAGGAUGACUCCUGCUACUGUCAUCUCUAAGCUCCUCACACAUCUUUACCUGCACAUGAGGAAAAUCACUCCUGUAGAAUGCAGAUGUUCAGAGGGAGAUGAUGCCACAUCUGGUCCAGCUGAUGGAAGGUCUUGAAGUUCUCUGACUGGCCUCGACUGAAGAUGGUCGUCUCACUGGAUUUAAGGUUCAGAUGCUCAGUAACAAACUCCACCAAUGUGCCAACAGGGAAGCUUUAGGUUUAUUAAAUGUUGCUAUGAAGGUUUCGCUGUUUUUCUUUGUGAAUGCAAUGUGCUCCAACUGAAACUUGAAUUAGAACUUAGAAGUAAAUCCUUCCAUCUGAAAGGGUUUAGUUGCAUUAAUAACCUCAUAACAUUCUAAUUUUUAUUCCAGUCUUGGUUGGAAAUAGAAUCUCUGUAUUGAUUCAGGUAAAAACUGAACUUCACAGCAUGUUGGAGCAAAACAACCAGAUGAAAACUGUGAUGGUGUUGGAUUGUCAGGCCGUAAUGUUGCAGCUCAAAGCAGCUUUUCUAUCUCAGUUCAUUCUGACAUUCAGCUAUGAAUCAACACAGCAGAUGGUGAUCCAUGCUGUGGAAGUCUCACAUCUCCUGAUUUAAUGGAGCUGCUUUGCACUUUUUACACUGUUUAUUCACCAACACUUUAUUUAAUAAAAGUCCCAUCUAGUUUUUAUGAGGAAUGUGAUGUUUUAAUUUCUCUGUGAAUAACUGCAGUCUAAUGCAACAGCUGGAGUUGUAACAUCUGUCCUGAUAUUGAUCAUGAAGUAUUGAUCAGAAUACUUAUGGUCAGCAGUCAUCCCUGAAGUUUUACAGUAAAAUCUUUACUUGUGUUGUGAACUUUGGUAAGAAGCAGAAACGUUAGCGUUGCCAUGGAUACAUGAGUGUUAAAUUCAGUCCAUGUUUCCAUUUUGGGAAAUUCAGUCCAGUUCCAGAAUGUGGAGGAAUUUAGUCUCACAAUCACAGACAACAAAUAUUAUCUGAAAGUCGGGUUAUUGUUGUUUAUCAGCACAAUACAAAAAGAUUAAUGUUAGAAAUAUUCUAGUUAAGACUCUAGAAUAUCAUGAUUUAUGUAAAUUUACCUCAAUAAUAUGAAUGCUCAGGUUAAGAUUGUACAGUGAUAUUUAUUAUGUAAGUUUAGCUGAUUAAAGUUUAUGACUCUGCACUAAAAUAUUAUUUAAAUUGACAUCAUUAUUAUAAUAUUUAGGGUCAGACCCUACAGUAUUGAGAUUAAGAAAUCAAAUAUUCUAUAAAAUGUAAAUACACUGAACUCAUUUGGAUAUAUUUAAGUGAGACUCUACAAUAUUAUUUGACACAAAUCUAUCUAAAUCAAAAUUUUAAUAAUUUUCACACCAAACAUUUACUGGACUGAUUUAAAUAUUAAAAUCACUCCUUUCUAAUCCUCUGCUGUACGUUCAAACCUGAGGCCUUAAAUAGAAACACACAAGUAUCUGAUUGAAGGAACUUCUGCAGAGUCCUGGUUCCAGAACAUGAUGAUAGAAUUAUAGACAAACUUUAACAAAAGCUGCCUGAGAGUUUACAGGUUUUUAUGUUGGAUUUCUUCAGUAAUUUAAUGAGAGUUAUCAGCAAUAAUCAAGUGUUCAUUUGAUGAACUUCAUUUCCUCAAACAUCCAGAAUUGGAGCUCAUAUCUUUGGCAGCUGUAAAGUUUCUGCUCCUUCAAAGUUCACAACACAAUGAAUGAAUUCCUAAAACACUCUCAAUGCUGGAGAGCGUUUGUGAUGCUGAAGCAGUGAUCAGUUUUUCUGUUUCUUCUCUGGAGAUGCACAAUGAGGGACGUCUGCAGAGACUGAGAAAGAGUCUCACCACAUCCUGACAUGAGGAAAAAGACUUUAUUGAAGACUGCAAUGAGAAAAACUAUCGGACAGCAGACGGCUGCAUUCAAGGUGAGCUCUGAACAUUUGAUCUGGAACAGGAAUUCAAUAACGGCAGCAUGAGCUUCAUUUCAGUCUGUAGCUGCUGAAUUCAUGGAUGAAUCAUCUGGCACUAGAGAGGAAGACCAUCAAACAUCCACGUCAGCUGAUGGAGGUCCAAGAGUCUCACUGAACAACCAACCUACAGAGUAAAGACCUCGAAUCUAAUUGGACGGCCUCCUAUUCAGCCACGUGUGAACAAAUGCCUCUAAGUUGAUUUGUUUUCUAAAAUAAAUCUAGUUUGAGUCCUAAUCUAUGCCUGAGUGUUUGCUUCUUUACACCGCUGUUAACAGUUUAGGCUGUUAGAUUGUUCCAGAUAAGACAAGUACAAGAUUCUUCAGAGCCGUUCUACCACGAGCCUGACAGGAAGAACUCCAACAGCUACUGAAUGUUCCUGUGGUUCCCUCAAGGCUACAGGAGGAGCCCUACGAGGACGAGCCGGUCCACCUGAUGGCGGCCAAUCGCUGCGGUUCAAAGCCAACACCGAUUACGUGGACUUCUACUGGACCACACGGAGGCCUUCAAACCGGACCAACAAGUUCACGACUCCCCGACUCGUGGGUCUGAGGACGCUGCCGAGCCUCGGUCCAGCCGGCCUCCUGUCUGUGGGUGUUUGAGUGCUGAGAGGUUUGUGGAUGCAUGUGAACGUGUCUGUGUUGAAACAGCAGCUUUUGACUCACUAACGCUGGUAAAAACAAGGAGCUCCUUUAUUUGUGACUUCCACUAAAAAACUGAUGAAAAUAAGUUUGCCAGGGUUCUGACUGAUAACAGAUUAUUAAAUAAUGAAAAUAAUCGUUUAAAUAUUCCUUUAAACAAUCCUUUUAGGUCUACAUUUCCUUUACACUGACUUCUUGGUAUAUGUACAAGUAUUUUGGGUGGAAUAUACCAUUAAGCCCAAUGUUCAAGGGUUCUUCUGGGAAUAUACCAUUAAAUCAACCUUUCAGGUAAAUAUUCCAGGAUGUUGGGUAGAAUAUACCAUCAGAUCAACCUUUUAGGUCUACAUUGGAAGAUUUUAGAGUAGAAUAUUACUCCAAACCAUCCUUUAGGUCUACAUUUAAGGUGGAAUACUCCUUUACACCAAGAUUUUUUGGUCUACAUUGAAGGAUUUUAGGUGGAAUAUUCCUUUGAACGAACUUUUUAAGUUUAUGUUAAAGGAUGUUGGGUGGAAUAGACCAUCAGACCAACCUCCAAGGUCUACAGUAGUGAAUUUUAGGUGGAAUAUACCAUUAAACUCACCUUUUAGGUCUACAUUGGAGGAUUUUAGAUGGAAUUUUCUUCCAAACCAUCUUUUAGUCUACAUUUAAGGAUGUUUAGGAUGGUAUAUUCUUCCGAACCAACUUGUCAGGUCUACAUUUCAGGUGGAAUAUUCCUCCAUACUAACCUUUUUUGGUCUACAUUGAAGGAUUUUUUCUAAACCACCCUUUCGGGUCUAUAUUUGGGGUUUUAGGUGGAAUAUUCCUUUUAACCAGCCCCUCAGGUCUUUGAGGAUUUUGGAUGGAAUACUCGGUUAAACCAACAUUUUAGGUGCAUGUCCAAGGAUUUUUGGUGGAAUGUUCCUUUAAGGUGGAUGUUUGAGGACCUUGUAGGUGGAAUACUUCCUGAAACCAACAUUUUAGGUCAACAUUCAAAGAUUUAAGGUGGAAUAUUCCUUUAAACCAACCUAAAUUUCAUGUUUUGAUCAUUAUCAAGUGAGAAACAUCAAUCCAGACUCCUCAUAAUGACGUUUGAGAUUUAUGCUGCUGUUAUUUGUUUAGUCCAGACUAAAUGACAGAAAUCCACAACUGUAAUUUUAUUUCAGGACUCGGUUAUUAAAUGUCAAAACAAUCCAUGUGACUCUAAAAACUCAACAGCUGUACACACUCUAAGAUUAAACUCUCCACAAGGAUCCAAAAUAAGUUGGACUUCUACAUGAGAGCUUUAAUUAUUCUUCAUCUACUUCCUGAAAAG